ACACAGCUUAAAAUGCUUCUGUACCUGAAGGUACGUUUAACCCCUUAAGGACACAUGACAUGUGUGAAAUGUCAUGAUUCCUUUUUAUUCCAGAAGUUUGGUCCUUAAGGGGUUAAACUACGGCGUGACAUUUAGAGUACACUUUAGUCUUUCUGAAAGGAAUCAAAUAUCAGAAUUUACAUUUAAAUAAUAGUAAUAAUAAUAAAAAAAGGUCUUGUGAGGUACAGACUCAUUGGGUCUUCAAAUUCAAAGUAAUAAAAGGUGAUGUGGCAUCAAUUUCGCAUGGGAAAUUUACCAAUAUUAAAUUAUAAUGAGAAAGAUAAAUAUAAUGAUAAUGUAUACAAAGAUAGUGGAGCCUCACGGCCCUCUUUGAGUAAACAGGACAUCUGUCCCUAGCCCCUUAAUCUGCAGGGGGCCACCACAACUGCCCCAUGGGCUCACUGUGCAACCACUAUUGUUUUUAUUGCCAAAGUAACAGACAUUGUGUUGGAGCUAGUUUCUAGUGUAGAGUCUCAGGAUGGUUGAAGGAACACUAUAGAAUUAGGAGUACAAACCUGCAUAUACAGAUACACACCCUGACACACAUACAGUUACACAGACACAUAUACAGACACAUACCCUGACACACAGAUACACACCCUAGCACACAGACACACAGAUACACACUCUGACAGAGAGAUACACAUACUGACAGACAAAUACAUAUACUGACAAGCAGUUACACAGACACAUAUAUACAUACACUGACACACUUAAGAAUACAUACCCUGACACACAUACAGAUACAUGCACUGAUACACAGAUACAGACACUGACACACAGAUACACAUCCUCACACACAGAUACUUAUCCUGACACGCAGAUACACACACUGACAUACCCUGACACACAGAUACACAGGCACACAUGCAGAAACACAGACACACACUUGCAGAUACACAGAGAUAUACACACUGACACAGAGAUACACACCCUUAUACACAGAUACACACCCUGACACACAUGCAGAUACACAGACACAUAUUUACAUACACUGACACACUUAAGGAUACAUACAGACACACAGAUACACACUGACACAUAAACACAAACAUACAGAUACAUAAACUGAUACACUGACACACAGAUACAUACCCCGACACACAGCUACACUGACACACAUGCAGAUACACAUACAGAUACACACAGAGACACAGACACAUACACUGACACACAGACACAUAUACUGAAACACAGAUACAUACAGAGACACACAGAUACAUACCCUGUCAAAGAUGCAGAUACACAGACACAUAGAUACAUACACAUACACAUGGAUACAUACACUGACACUUAAGGAUACUUACCCUGAAACACUUAUAGACACACACACUGACACGCAGAUACAUACCUGACACACAGAUACAUACACCGACACACUUAAGGAUACUUACACUGACACACAUACACGGACACACAGAUACAUACACUGACACACAUGCAGAUACACAGACACAUACACUGACUCACACACAUACAGAGAAAUACACACAAACACCACACACACAUACAGAUACACAAAAACACAUACAUGUCAGGUUCCUACCUUUUGGCUGGCUGGGUCUGGUGGCAGUUAGAAGCCUGCUGCUCUCCCAUUCUGUUAGGGAAAUGCAUUGUUUUAGAGAACUAUGAUGCAGACUUUAAGUUGGUCUGAUGCUGUCCAGCAGUGGUAUGUUGUUUAGUUCUAACGUCUCACCUUAGGAUGUCAUUCAGUAGCAUAUUCCUUAAGUAUUCAAAGGAGUUUUAGAAAGACAAUGCCAGCUGCUGUUGCCCAUCAGGCUACGCUUGUCUCCUAAGGAGGUCUGAAAAAUUGCCUAUUGUGUUGCUAGUGAGUCUUGCUUAUGCGUCUUGAGUGGAAUGUGCUGGACAUUGUAAAUCGACAUAUAAUUAGUUAGGUGGCUCUAGCUUCUUACAGGAGAGUGUGGCGUUGCUAAGGACCUUGUCAAUUGCCACUUGGGCACAGUCACAUUUGGGUUGUCUGUGAGGUUCAGAGAUGUGUGAGCUCGUAGAAAGGUAUAGUGUACAUAGGGGCAUAGGAGUCUCUGGGAGGGGUACCCCGGAGGGGGGGGGAGGGAGAGAGUUGGAGGUCAUGUACAGAUUUGUGUUAAGUCAGGCAGAGUGGGUUAAAUGCACGCUUGUUAGAGUCUGCUUGCAAUCCAGGGGUCUUAUGGAACACCUUCCGAGUGUCAUAGAUUUGAGCUGUCAAUCUGUCCAUUUCUAAGGUCUCUGUGACCUUACGUUUGGUCAGAGAGGGGAUGUUUGUCAGCCCACAGUUCCCCUAGUGCCCUGCGUGCAGCAAGGGCUAAAAGUGCUGCCAGUUUGUUCUCAUGACUGGUAGCAGUGACAGAUGGUUUAGAUAGCAGUAGCACCCAGGGAUCCAGUGGGAAUUGUUUUCCCAAGACCAGUCGCAUUCAUUGACUGAACUUCAAGCCAGUAGUUCUUAAUCCUUGGCAAUGCCACCAACAGUAGAGGUAUGUGCCUGUGUCCCUGCACAUUUUCCAACAGUUUGGCCAUUGGCUUUUGCCAAUCGAAGUGGUGUCAAAAAGCAUCUUAUAAGCCUGUUCCUUGUGGGAGUAGGUGAUGCAAAUCAUUAGGGUGCUGGUUGCUGCUCAGAUGCCUCCCCAGUCUGUCAGCUCAUCAGGGGACCAAGUCACACUCCCACUUGGCUAUGUAUGUUAUGAUGUCAGGGAGAGGUAGAUAUUUGGCCCAUGCUCUGCUUUUCAAAUGAUGUGGGGGCUGCCAGUCCAGUGUGCUUGACAGUGGAUCUCCAUAGUGACAUGUGGAAGGCCAGGUGUGCUUACCUUUGUAAUGGCUUCAGUGGGAUUUGAACUCUGGACUCUUGCUCCUUUGGUCCUGCUCUCUUUCCUCUGAACCACUCAUCUAUUCAUGUUUAUCUCCAGCACUGGGGGACUGAACUUUAUUUGUGGCUGCUCAUGUCUAUCUAGCACACCUGAAGCAUAUCAUUAUUAGCUGGCUAUAUAAGCACUGCCUCGCCCUGGGAACUUCGUCAGUUCAUUGACUCUGGUUCUACUGUUUGGUUCCUGUUCGUAUAUUGAUCCAGUGUUCUCUCAGACUGAUCUGGCUUCCGACCUUGGCUUAUUUCCUUGAUUACUCUGACCUCUGGCUUCCCCUGACUUUGGCUUUCCACAACUCCUCUUCUGGAUAUCUUUGCCUGUACUGCGACUUGGAGCACUAUUUCUGCACAGCCCCCGUGCACAGACUCACAGCACAGGUGGCUUCUUGCCUUGUCAUCUUGGUCUGUGAUUAUUUGCAAGGUGGAGCGUAUAACUCUGCACGUCGGACUCCACACCAGGUAAGGUCCUGACAUAAAUUAACUGACCCAUGGAGUCCGCAGAGUUAUACAAAUUACUCACCUCCCUUGCUCAGCAAGUUUCCAACCUGUCCCGGACUAUAAUGGAUUUGCAGUGAGGUUUGUUAGAAUUUAAAAGAGGCGGUACGCCCAACCCUGGAACCUGCAUUUCCAGGACCCUAUGUCAUAAUGCCUGAUAGGUUCGACGGUUCCCGUUCCACUUUCUCGAUGUUCAAGAUGGACUGUGAGCUCCUGUUUGCCUUGAAACCUAGAACCUACGCCACCAACUUUAUUAAAGUCCGCACCGCUAUUAAUCUACUUUUCGGACGGAUUAGGGUGUGGGCAUACCAGAAGCUGCAGGAAAAAAGUACUGUCUUGGACACCUGGGAGUCAUUUAUGCCUGCGAUGGAUGCACAGUGCUUAACUUCAAGGAAGGAUAUUCCCAAGCCUGCUUCAGGUCCUCGCAGAUCUCGGGUACCUAGAGAAAAGAAAUACAUGUACGAGUAUAACGACCCCAGCCUGUUGCAGCGCGUACCUACCUUUAGGGACCUACCUUGUCACCCUGACGUUACUCAAGUAAGCCUAGAUAUACCAGAGGACAAGGAGGAACCCAUGGAGAUCGACUACGUUCGCACUAGAAUGAGACUGUCGUCUAGAGAAAGAGACCGGAGGAGAGCUUGUGGCCUUUGUUUCUAUUGUGGAGAAAGAGGGCACUUUAUCUCCCGCUGCUUUAUUUGCCCACUUCGGCCUAAGCCUCUACGAGUAGUUACCAUUCAGCUUCACCCUGUCAUCCCUGCAACACAGCCUGAAAAAUGUCAAGGAUGCUGUUGUACAUUUCCACGUUCAGUGACGCAGAAGAGUAGCCCGACUGCGAUGGCUAAUGAUCCCAGUGUUAUCACAAGAACACACAGCCAGUCCUCCCUCAGAUGAUUUACUAAGUUCUCAUGAUUUUGAUGAAGAAUCUGUAGAGAUGCACUACGAUGCUCCCCCCUCAGAUGUCAUGGGUUCAGAGGAUGAAGCUAUGAGCGAAUGUCAAGAACUUAUGACUACUUCUUCUAUCAUCCAAUCCACAGGAAAAACGGAACACUGCAAAACAUCCAUUUGGUGCCCCUGGACUUGUGAAAGCCAGUGAUGGUACUAUCAUGCUGAUUAAAGAACUCUGCCUUUAUGAAAGGAUGCUAUGAGGUAUGUGAACGCUAACCCUCCUGAAGGCACCGCCAAUGAAGUUUCAACAUGCUCUUCCUCACAACCAAUACCUACCUGGGGAAAAAACCUACAAUUUCAUGACUUGUCAAGUAUGGCUUAAUAAAGAAAAAUAAUGACCCCAUCCUUACACUAGGGAUUAGAGAGAAAUAUUAAACUGUAAAAAUCUCAUCUAAGUCGAGAGAGAAUUCCUGUUCACUGCCUAAUAGUGACUUCAAGCAGGGGGUAAUGUCACAAUCUCCAUCAUUACGUAUGGAAGGCAAGGUGUGCUUGCUGUCCUAGUGGCAUUGGGGGGGGAGGGGGGAUUUGAACUCUGGACUCUUGCAGCUUUGGUCCUGCUCUCUUUCCUCUGAACCACUCAUCUAUUCAUGUUUUAGUCUAUGUCCAGCCUUGUCUUAUCUCCAGCACUGGGGGGGCUGAACUUUAUUUGUGGCUGCUCAUGUCUAACUAGCACACCUGAAGCAUAUCAUUAUUAGCUGGAUAUAUACGCACUGCCUCGCCCUGGGAACUUCAUCAGUUCAUUGACUCUGGUUCUACUGUUUGGUUCCCGUUGUUCGUAUAUUGAUCCAGUGUUCUCUCAGACUGAUCUGACUUCUGACCUUGGCUUAUUUCCUUGAUUACUCUGACCUCUGGCUUUCCACAACUCCUCUUCUGGAUAUCCUUGCCUGUACUGCGACUUGGAGCACUAUUUCUGCACAGACUCACAGCCCAGGUGGCUUCUUGCAUAGUCACCUUGGUCUGUGAUUAUUUGCAAGGGUGAGCAACUAACUCUGCACGUCGGACUCCACACCAGAUAAGAUCCUGACAGACAGCUGGUAGGGUGGCCAAAUUCCUAAAUUGGAACAAUCAAAAGAAAUCCGUUGUGCGUAAGCCCUCUUGUUCAGGCAGAUCUGUAUAUUCCAGGUGUCAGCCUAUACUCAAGGUGGGGAAGCAUGGGUUCUUGGCAUAAAGGGUUGCAUAGGCAUAGGGUAGUCCGCUGGGGAUCGCUACUUGAUCGUGUCGAGUUAGGGCAUGCUCACCCUUCCAUGGUCUGGGACAACUUGGCUUCUCCUCCCUACGAACUUGAGGAUUCCCAUACUUCAGCUCGGUCUGGAGUAGCCGCGUGCGUCUGGCGUUUUUCAGCCUCUGUGGUUGGUGGUGUGCGGAGCUCAAUCGGAGCGGCAGGUGAGUGAGAAUUCUGCGCCAUCGGAAGUGAUGAGCUUGCUUUCCGACCGGCCGGUCAGCGUUGUGUCCCCGCAAGGGGUGUUGUGUACCGGGCCGGACUCUCUUUCGGCGAGCAGCGAUAGGCACGAGACGCCGGUGUCUUCCACUCUCCUGAGCCCGGGCCUUAUGUGGAGCCCGUGCCGCAUGUCCAUGGACCCUCCGUUGCUUUUCGGCAGGGUCGUGGGCCUGUGGGAUGACCCUCCAGGUAUCUGGGCGGCUGGUUGGCUUUGCCUCCGUGUGGGCUCCCAGCCCAGAAUAGGAGACGUGGUUCGGCUCUCCGUUGUGUUGGGUCUGCGGCCCAUGUGAGUUGCGGGUAGCGAUGCGGUGCCAGAACCCUUGGACAAGGCGAUCAAACCUGGCCUCGAAAUUUUCCCGCCAGUUCUGGAUGCCUGCCACCUCCAUGUUAUGCGCUGUCUGGAGCUCGGCGGCCAUCUUUGUCUCCUCGUGCUGUCCCUCAGUUUGGGAGAUCUGAGCGGUGCAGGGAGGAGGUUUCCCCGAGUGAGGACCGGGAUAUCCCCCGCCGGUCCAGAGGGGGGGUGACGGGGCUUCAAGCUUGUCAUGGUGCAGUAUGCGGUCCGGGUCAGAGGAUCGGCCGCCUCCUCCAACCUUCAGGCCGUCAUUCUUGCUAGGCCUUGCAGCCAGACGGGCGGAGUUCGCGCUGGAUCCGUGUGCUGCUUGUAUAUUUGUGCCCCUAGAUUGCUCAGCGGUAAGAUGAGGCUGAGGCCAUGCUGUUUUGUGAUGAGUUAUGGGCUUGAAAUGCUUGUAUUCAGCCCUGUGGUGCAGGAGCUGAGCUGGAACACGUCUGGCCAUCUUGGCAGUCAGGCCCCGCCCCCCCUAAGAAAGCCCCUUUUGUCCUGAAAAAAACAAUAUAUAAUUUGUAUGGGAACAGUAAAUGAGAAAGCGGAAAAUUCCAGCCAAACACAAACACCACAAAAGUGUAAAAAUAUGCCUGGUCGCAAAUGUACAACAUCGCAAAAACAGUCCAGUCCUUAAGGGGUUAAGCAUGGGUGCAAAAACAACACUAUGGUCUGCAGACUUUUCGCCUUAUAAUAUCAGUCCAGCUAUGGCAUUAAGAUAAU
This 6834-nucleotide long non-coding RNA is filed under the name Pelobates cultripes (western spadefoot toad). Lineage: Eukaryota; Metazoa; Chordata; Amphibia; Anura; Pelobatidae. The record is from RNAcentral.